Uranotaenia lowii is the source of this 248-nucleotide long non-coding RNA. RefSeq lists it as uncharacterized. The record is from RefSeq and is a predicted model, not a curated record. The transcript is spliced from 3 exons. Lineage: Eukaryota; Metazoa; Arthropoda; Insecta; Diptera; Culicidae.
AAGAAUAGUAUCAAAACAUACAAGUGGUGAAAUUAAAAAAUUUGAAAGCUUUCAAAGGAAUCAAACUGAUAGUGGCUGCUCGAUUUUCCCAGCUAAAACUGCAGUGGAAAAAUACCCGGAAACCGUGGAAUACUUUGGGAAACAUCGUCAGCUCUUCGCAUCAACAAGCAGUACCGACCGAGAUGGAAGGAAAUCAACGCAGAACGAGUCAACAGGUGAGUUUACGUAUCGAGUUUAAUAAGGAUGGU